UACGAAGGGGGCUAGCGUUGUUCGGAGUUACUGGGCGUAAAGGGCGCGUAGGCGGCCUGGCAAGUCGGUGGUGAAAGCCCGUGGCUCAACUACGGGUCGGCCACCGAUACUGCUAUGGCUCGAGUUUGGUAGAGGCAGAUGGAAUUCCGGGUGUAGCGGUGGAAUGCGUAGAGAUGUGGAGGAACACCUGUGGCGAAGGCGCCUUGCUGGCCGAUUUCUGACGCUGAGGCGCGAAAGCGUGGGGAGCAAACAGG
RNAcentral lists this ribosomal RNA (254 nucleotides) under uncultured bacterium. RNAcentral describes it as "partial 16S ribosomal RNA". It matches the Rfam family "Bacterial small subunit ribosomal RNA", at positions 524 to 776 of the family's 1533-position model. The record is from RNAcentral.